CCUACGGGAGGCAGCAGUGAGGAAUCUUGGUCAAUGGACGAGAGUCUGAACCAGCCACGUAGCGUGAAGGAUGACUGCCCUAUGGGUUGUAAACUUCUUUUAUAAAGGAAUAAAACGAGGCACGUGUGCCUUUUUGCAUGUACUUUAUGAAUAAGGAUCGGCUAACCCCGUGCCAGCAGCGGCGGUAAUACGGAGGAUCCGAGCGUUAUCCGGAUUGAUUGGGUUUAAAGGGAGCGCAGGUGGGUUGUUAAGUCAGAUGUGAAAGUUUGCGGCUCAACCGGAAUAGUGCAAUUGAUACUGGCAGACUUGAGUACAGUUGAGGUAGGCGGAAUUCGAGGUGUAGCGGUGAAAUGCGUAGAUAUCACGAAGAACACCGAUUGCGAAGGCAGCUUACUAAACUGUGACUGACAUUGAUGCUCGAAAGUGUGGGUAUCAAACAGGAUUAGAUACCCCUGUAGUC
RNAcentral lists this ribosomal RNA (460 nucleotides) under uncultured bacterium. RNAcentral's name for it is "partial 16S ribosomal RNA". It matches the Rfam family "Bacterial small subunit ribosomal RNA", at positions 338 to 795 of the family's 1533-position model. The record is from RNAcentral.